This 319-nucleotide ribosomal RNA is filed under the name uncultured eukaryote. RNAcentral's name for it is "partial 18S ribosomal RNA". It matches the Rfam family "Eukaryotic small subunit ribosomal RNA", at positions 1470 to 1796 of the family's 1831-position model. The record is from RNAcentral.
CCCUUAGAUGUUCUGGGCAGCACGCGCGCUACAAUGGUCUUCGCAAACGGAUGCAUUCUCGAAGGAGAAUGCCAAUCUUGGAAUCUAUGCCUUGGUCGGGACAGUUGCUUGCAAUUUUUCGACUCGAACCAGGAAUUCCUUGUAAUCGUGAUUCAUCACAUCACGAUGAAUACGUCCCUGCCCUUUGUACACACCGCCCGUCGCUCCUACCGAUCGAGGAGUUAGGUGAAUUGUUUUGAUCGAUAAGAUUUGACUAUGGUCAACUCUCGUUGGGAAAUUCUGUGAAUCUGACUGUUUAGAGGAAGGAAAAGUCGUAACA